RNAcentral lists this ribosomal RNA (484 nucleotides) under uncultured bacterium. Its description in RNAcentral is "partial 16S ribosomal RNA". It matches the Rfam family "Bacterial small subunit ribosomal RNA", at positions 30 to 507 of the family's 1533-position model. The record is from RNAcentral.
AUUGAACGCUGGCGGCAGGCCUAACACAUGCAAGUCGAGCGGAUGAAGGGAGAUUGCUCCUGGAUUCAGCGGCGGACGGGUGGGUAAGGCCUAGGAAUCUGCCUGGUAGUGGGGGAUAACGUCCGUAAACGGGCGCUAAUACCGCAUACGUCCUGAGGGAGAAAGGGGGGGAUCUUCGGAGCUAACGCUAUCAGAUGAGCCUAGGUCGGAUUAGCUAGUUGGUGUGGUAAAGGCCUACCAAGGCGACGAUCCGUAACUGAUCUGAGAGGAUGAUCAGUCACACUGGAACUGAGACACGGUCCAGACUCCUACGGGAGGCAGCAGUGGGGAAUCUUGGACAAUGGGCGAAAGCCUGAUCCAGCCAUGCCGCGUGUGUGAAGAAGGUCUUCGGAUUGUAAAGCACUUUAAGUUGGGAGGAAGGGCAGUAUGUUAAUCCCUUGCUGUUUUGACGUUACCAACAGAAUAAGCACCGGCUAACUUCGUG